Molecule: ribosomal RNA, 300 nt
Filed under: uncultured delta proteobacterium
Lineage: Bacteria; Deltaproteobacteria
Description: bacterial SSU rRNA
Rfam family: Bacterial small subunit ribosomal RNA
Source: RNAcentral
CGCGUAGGUUACGUGCCCUCUAGUUCGGGAUAAGCAUUGGAAACGAUGUCUAAUACCGAAUGUGAACUUCGGUUUAAAGCCUUCGGGUGCUAGAGGAUCGGCCUGCGUUGCAUUAGCUAGUUGGUGAGGUAACGGCUCACCAAGGCAACGAUGCAUAGCGGAUCUGAGAGGGUGAUCCGCCACACUGGGACUGAGAUACGGCCCAGACUCCUACGGGAGGCAGCAGUGAGGAAUAUUGCACAAUGGAGGAAACUCUGAUGCAGCAAUACCGCGUGAACGAAGAAGGUCUAUGGAUUGUAA